UGAUAAUUAGUUUAAACAAAAACAAGUGAUUUCGACUCACUAGAUUAUGGCAACGACCACAAUUAUCAA
Molecule: transfer RNA, 69 nt
Filed under: Micronycteris hirsuta
Lineage: Eukaryota; Metazoa; Chordata; Mammalia; Chiroptera; Phyllostomidae
Description: tRNA-Arg
Source: RNAcentral